AUACCUCAGGUCCUCAGUGCAGCAACAACUCGAAGAUGAUGGAGAACAAGAGAAGAGAUGCGACCGGCAAAUUUUGACAAUAGAAGAGAUUGCAAAGGGAAGAGGAGUCGGGGAGAAGAGAUUGUGAGGGGAAGAGGAGUCGGGCAGUAGCAAAUUUUGAAAAUAGAAAUUUUGAGUACUAUUGUUAAGUCAAAUCUUUUAAA
This 203-nucleotide unclassified non-coding RNA is filed under the name Hevea brasiliensis (rubber tree). The record is from RNAcentral. Lineage: Eukaryota; Viridiplantae; Streptophyta; Magnoliopsida; Malpighiales; Euphorbiaceae.